AGAUUGAACGCUGGCGGCAGGCCUAACACAUGCAAGUCGAGCGGCAGCACGGGUACUUGUACCUGGUGGCGAGCGGCGGACGGGUGAGUAAUGCCUAGGAAUCUGCCUGGUAGUGGGGGAUAACGCUACGGAAACGGACGCUAAUACCGCAUACGUCCUACGGGAGAAAGCAGGGGACCUUCGGGCCUUGCGCUAUCAGAUGAGCCUAGGUCGAUUAGCUAGUUGGUGAGGUAAUGGCUCACCAAGGCGACGAUCCGUAACUGGUCUGAGAGGAUGAUCAGUCACACUGGAACUG
RNAcentral lists this ribosomal RNA (295 nucleotides) under uncultured soil bacterium. RNAcentral describes it as "partial 16S ribosomal RNA". It matches the Rfam family "Bacterial small subunit ribosomal RNA", at positions 26 to 321 of the family's 1533-position model. The record is from RNAcentral.